AGAGUUUGAUCCUGGCUCAGAUUGAACGCUGGCGGCAUGCCUUACACAUGCAAGUCGAACGGUAACAGGUUAAGCUGACGAGUGGCGAACGGGUGAGUAGUGUAUCGGAACGUGCCCAGUCGUGGGGGAUAACGUAGCGAAAGCUACGCUAAUACCGCAUACGAUCUAUGGAUGAAAGCGGGGGAUCGCAAGACCUCGCGCGAUUGGAGCGGCCGAUAUCAGAUUAGGUAGUUGGUGGGGUAAAGGCCUACCAAGCCGACGAUCUGUAGCUGGUCUGAGAGGACGACCAGCCACACUGGGACUGAGACACGGCCCAGACUCCUACGGGAGGCAGCAGUGGGGAAUUUUGGACAAUGGGCGCAAGCCUGAUCCAGCAAUGCCGCGUGCAGGAUGAAGGCCUUCGGGUUGUAAACUGCUUUUGUACGGAACGAAACAGCUCUUUCUAAUACAGAGGGCGAAUGACGGUACCGUAAGAAUAAGCACCGGCUAACUACGUG
This 497-nucleotide ribosomal RNA is filed under the name uncultured bacterium. RNAcentral describes it as "bacterial SSU rRNA". It matches the Rfam family "Bacterial small subunit ribosomal RNA", at positions 8 to 507 of the family's 1533-position model. The record is from RNAcentral.